RNAcentral lists this long non-coding RNA (740 nucleotides) under Chrysolophus pictus (golden pheasant). Its description in RNAcentral is "lncRNA (ENSCPIG00010008903.1)". Lineage: Eukaryota; Metazoa; Chordata; Aves; Galliformes; Phasianidae. The record is from RNAcentral.
CUCUUCAUGAGCUGUGACACCGCUCGUUUUCAUGGAAAGCUCUCUUUCCUUUGAGUUACUGGGAUUGCCCGCUGUAAGAUGCUGCACGUAACCGAAUAUAAAUGAGCAAAUGAUGGCAGAAAUCAUAUUCUGGUGUUGCUGCCCGCGACGUACAAAGAAUGCUGUGUGUGAUGCCAGCACAUAAAUGUUAACUGCCAUUCAGUCAGCGUGUGCCACACUGGUCAGUGAAGCCCAUUCUCUCUUCACAGAGUUAAUGCUGGCUUUUAGGUUGGUGCCAAGAUGCAAUAUUCUCUACUCCUAGCAGUAUGGAAGGAAGGCUUUUUCAGAAGCGUCAGCAGCAGUUUCUGCAGGAACUCUCCCAUGCUUUCAGCACUCGACUUCUGUUGCACACUUUAGGACUUCAUUCUAUAGAUAUGUAAGAAAGAAGUAAUUCAAGACAUUGAAGCACCCUUCCUCCUUAGGAUGAGAAAGCAAGUUGGAGAAAACAGCUAUAGGCAGGUUAACCAGUAUAAGAAAAUAGAACUGAGAGAGCUUGCAAAACAAAAGAUUGUGGAGACAAAGUGCAAGGCCAGCCAGAAGCUCAGCCGAGGACAGCUGCAUAUUGCCAUCAGCCAGCAGAUGGGCAUGAAGACGUGAGCAGAGAAAGACCCUAAGGAAUAGCAAGGCCACAUCAGAUACAGAGGAGACAGUGGAACCGAAAAAGCAAUUAGCACCAGGUACCCACAGACACACACUCAGGG